Non-coding RNA from Arachis ipaensis, 905 nucleotides. The record is from RefSeq and is a predicted model, not a curated record. Lineage: Eukaryota; Viridiplantae; Streptophyta; Magnoliopsida; Fabales; Fabaceae.
AAUUUUUAAUAGCAUUUCAAAGUAUAUGUUGUUAGGAUAUGGGAGGUUUCAAAUAAAUACAAUAAAAAAAAGAUUGAGCCAAUUGAAAUUAUUCUCCAAGAUGCAAAGGUAUCAUUUUCGUAAUAAAAUAUGUUUUCUUUUUAUUUAUUGUUGAUAUUUUUAUAGUGGUGUGAUACAUAUAUAAAACAGUCAAAAUACAUUACUUAUUUUGGUAGAAUCCAUUGCACUAUUCCCAAGGGGUUAGUAAAAAAAUGACGUGGUGCUAUUUUCGAGUUUCAGAUGUACACUAAUUUUGGUGUGUUCGACAAUAAGUACUAUAAGGAGAAGAAUGAUGUGAGUAGGAUAGUGUUGACAUUCUCCGAGAGGACUUUGGUCAAUCAUAUCUGAUCGGCGAGGUUGUUAGUAAGGAAGAUCCUAGGAACUUGAUCACUAGCAAAGGGAAGGAGACUAAGUGUUUAGUUAUCAUCCUUCAAAACCUCGAGAAUAAUAGGAUCAAUUGCAUUUUGUUUGGUGAGUCAGUUGACCAUCUCCUACCGCACCUUGAAGAGGAGAGACCUGAACCACUUAUUGUUGUGUUGCAAUAUUUUAAAGCAAUGAGGUGGAAUAAGAAAAUAUCGGUGCAAAGCAACUUUGAAAUCUCGAAGGUCCAUAUUAAUCCCGAAUUAACAAAAGUCAUCCAAUUCAAGAGCAAGUUAAGUAGUCCUACCGCAUGAAGUUCGACCAGGAUCAGCCAGGUGUUAUCUCCUAAUACAUGGUCUGCCUUAGACGAGUUAAAACACAGAAAUGUGGCUGUCAAGAUAGUAUAAGAAGAUCUUAAUUCCACGGAGGUCUAAUGUGGCUAAAAUUUACACAAUUAAUUUUGAUAUUGAUGUGAGGAUUUAUACCGGUUCAAAAUUUAACAAAAU